Molecule: long non-coding RNA, 469 nt
Filed under: Homo sapiens (human)
Lineage: Eukaryota; Metazoa; Chordata; Mammalia; Primates; Hominidae
Description: non-protein coding lnc-MARCH11-1:2
Source: RNAcentral
AGUUCCCUGCAGGUGAGGGAUUUUUUUUUUUUUCCAGAAAGAAAACUGUUAGCUCUGCCCUGAAGAUGAGUCCCACAGAGGUUUUGCAGGGUGGAGUUACCGAGAAAUUGACUUCGGGGGUGAGUUGUUGAACCCCUGCCGAUGUGAUGGGUCAGUUCGGUAUACACAUCAGCUGUGCCUGCUAAAAUGGAUCAGUGAGAGAGGUUCCUGGACCUGUGAACUUUGCUGUUAUAGAUACCAUGUUAUAGCCAUUAAAAUGAAACAACCUUGCCAGUGGCAGAGCAUUUCUAUAACACUGGUUGAGAAAGUUCAGAUGAUUGCUGUAAUCCUAGGAUCCCUGUUCUUAAUAGCCAGUGUGACUUGGCUCCUCUGGUCAGCCUUCAGCCCCUAUGCAGUGUGGCAGAGGAAGGACAUCCUUUUUCAGAUCUGCUAUGGAAUGUAUGGUUUUAUGGAUCUAGUGUGCAUAGGU